AGCGAACGCUGGCGGCAGGCUUAACACAUGCAAGUCGAACGCCCCGCAAGGGGAGUGGCAGACGGGUGAGUAACACGUGGGAACGUACCCCUUGGUUCGGAAUAACUUGGGGAAACUCAAGCUAAUACCGGAUAAGCCCUUAUGGGGGAAGGUUUACUGCCGAAGGAUCGGCCCGCGUCUGAUUAGCUAGUUGGUUAGGUAAUGGCUCACCAAGGCGACGAUCAGUAGCUGGUCUGAGAGGAUGAUCAGCCACACUGGGACUGAGACACGGCCCAGACUCCUACGGGAGGCAGCAGUGGGGAAUAUUGGACAAUGGAGGCAACCCUGAUCCAGCCAUGCCGCGUGAGUGAUGAAGGCCUUAGGGUUGUAAAGCUCUUUUACCCGGGACGAUAAUGACUGUACCGGGAGAAUAAGCCCCGGCUAACUUCGUGCCAGCAGCCGCCGUAA
Molecule: ribosomal RNA, 447 nt
Filed under: uncultured bacterium
Lineage: Bacteria
Description: partial 16S ribosomal RNA
Rfam family: Bacterial small subunit ribosomal RNA
Source: RNAcentral